This is a long non-coding RNA of Vidua chalybeata, 485 nucleotides long. RefSeq lists it as uncharacterized. The record is from RefSeq and is a predicted model, not a curated record. The transcript has 3 exons. NCBI's taxonomy places the organism in Eukaryota, Metazoa, Chordata, Aves, Passeriformes, Viduidae.
ACAGAGCGCGAGUGGAUCCUCAGAUUUCUUGGGGAAGGGCUGCGUGACAAACUUUGCUGUGAGCUUUAUGUCUACCAGAGGAUUUUCCGGGUCAUUCUUGCCUUUUUCAGCAGUCCUUUGUGUGACAAGGGCUCCCAGAGUCGUAUUCUGGAGAUAUCACAGAGUGCUGCCCCUGUCACCUCUAGAGCUGCCCAUGAGCUGAUAGAGGAUCACAGCCUCCUCUCGUGGGUCCUGCACGGCUUAGAGAAAAGGUUUCUGGAGAACCAGGUGAUAAAUAAAAUUAUUUCCUUACUCCAUCCUCUGUGGCUAAUAAAUUUAGGAGACAAGAGAGAAAACAGGAAUCGAUCCCAGAUGCUGCUGUUGAGAUGGAUAUAUGAUCUACCUGUAUAUAGAUGUAUGUGUAUAUAUGUAUAUCUGUGUAGUGAUAAUAAUGGGAGUUUUUAUGAUACGUUGCUUUACUGUUUUAUAUUUUUAAUAAAGUGUGA